Molecule: ribosomal RNA, 491 nt
Filed under: uncultured Streptococcus sp.
Lineage: Bacteria; Bacillati; Bacillota; Bacilli; Lactobacillales; Streptococcaceae
Description: bacterial SSU rRNA
Rfam family: Bacterial small subunit ribosomal RNA
Source: RNAcentral
CACGCUGGCGGCGUGCCUAAUACAUGCAAGUAGAACGCUGAAGGAGGAGCUUGCUCUUCUGGAUGAGUUGCGAACGGGUGAGUAACGCGUAGGUAACCUGCCUGGUAGUGGGGGAUAACUAUUGGAAACGAUAGCUAAUACCGCAUAAUAACAGUUGUUGCAUGACAACUGUUUGAAAGGUGCAAUUGCAUCACUACCAGAUGGACCUGCGUUGUAUUAGCUAGUUGGUGGGGUAACGGCUCACCAAGGCGACGAUACAUAGCCGACCUGAGAGGGUGAUCGGCCACACUGGGACUGAGACACGGCCCAGACUCCUACGGGAGGCAGCAGUAGGGAAUCUUCGGCAAUGGACGAAAGUCUGACCGAGCAACGCCGCGUGAGUGAAGAAGGUUUUCGGAUCGUAAAGCUCUGUUGUAAGAGAAGAACGAGUGUGAGAGUGGAAAGUUCACACUGUGACGGUAUCUUACCAGAAAGGGACGGCUAACUACGUG